This 427-nucleotide ribosomal RNA is filed under the name uncultured bacterium. RNAcentral describes it as "partial 16S ribosomal RNA". It matches the Rfam family "Bacterial small subunit ribosomal RNA", at positions 355 to 774 of the family's 1533-position model. The record is from RNAcentral.
GGGGGAAUAUUGCACAAUGGGCGCAAGCCUGAUGCAGCCAUGCCGCGUGUGUGAAGAAGGCCUUCGGGUUGUAAAGCACUUUCAGCGAGGAGGAAGGGUAGGGUGUUAAUAGCACAUUGCAUUGACGUUACUCGCAGAAGAAGCACCGGCUAACUCCGUGCCAGCAGCCGCGGUAAUACGGAGGGUGCAAGCGUUAAUCGGAAUUACUGGGCGUAAAGCGCACGCAGGCGGUUUGUUAAGUCAGAUGUGAAAUCCCCGCGCUUAACGUGGGAACUGCAUUUGAAACUGGCAAGCUAGAGUCUUGUAGAGGGGGGUAGAAUUCCAGGUGUAGCGGUGAAAUGCGUAGAGAUCUGGAGGAAUACCGGUGGCGAAGGCGGCCCCCUGGACAAAGACUGACGCUCAGGUGCGAAAGCGUGGGGAGCAAACA